GGAUAACCUGCCCUUGGGACCGGCAUAACCCCGGGAAACUGGGGAUAAUUCCGGAUAACGCAUAUGUGCUGGAAUGCUUUAUGCGUAAAAUGGAUUCGUCUGCCCAAGGAUGGGUCUGCGGCCUAUCAGGUAGUAGUGGGUGUAAUGUACCUACUAGCCAGCGACGGGUACGGGUUGUGAGAGCAAGAGCCCGGAGAUGGAUUCUGAGACAUGAAUCCAGGCCCUACGGGGCGCAGCAGGCGCGAAAACUUUACAAUGCGGGAAACCGUGAUAAGGGGACACCGAGUGCCAGCAUCAUAUGCUGGCUGUCCAGGUGUGUAAAAUACACUUGUUAGCAAGGGCCGGGCAAGACCGGUGCCAGCCGCCGCGGUAACACCGGCGGCCCGAGUGGUGAUCGUGAUUAUUGGGUCUAAAGGGUCCGUAGCCGGUUUGGUCAGUCCUCCGGGAAAUCUGAUAGCUCAACUAUUAGGCUUUCGGGGGAUACUGCCAGACUUGGAACCGGGAGAGGUAAGAGGUACUACAGGGGUAGGAGUGAAAUCUUGUAAUCCCUGUGGGACCACCUGUGGCGAAGGCGUCUUACCAGAACGGGUUCGACGGUGAGGGACGAAAGCUGGGGGCACGAACCGGAUUAGAUACCCGGGUAGUCCCAGCCGUAAACUAUGCUCGCUAGGUGUCAGGGACGGUGCGACCGUUUCUGUGCCGCAGGGAAGCCGUGAAGCGAGCCACCUGGGAAGUACGGUCGCAAGGCUGAAACUUAA
This 758-nucleotide ribosomal RNA is filed under the name Methanosarcina sp. enrichment culture clone A1-24. Its description in RNAcentral is "bacterial SSU rRNA". It matches the Rfam family "Archaeal small subunit ribosomal RNA", at positions 102 to 859 of the family's 1478-position model. Lineage: Archaea; Methanobacteriati; Methanobacteriota; Methanomicrobia; Methanosarcinales; Methanosarcinaceae. The record is from RNAcentral.